UCCUGGCUCAGGAUGAACGCUGGCGGCGUGCUUAAUACAUGCAAGUCGAACGAAGCACUCCACCCGUACCAAGAAAGCUUGCUUUUGGAGGUACACCUGGAGUGACUUAGUGGCGGACGGGUGAGUAACGCGUGGGAAACCUACCCUGUACAGGGGAACAACAGUUGGAAACGACUGCUAAUACCGCAUAAGCGCACGGGAACGCAUGUUUCUGUGUGAAAAGAUUAUAUCGGUACAGGAUGGUCCCGCGUCUGAUUAGCUUGUUGGCGGGGUAACGGCCCACCAAGGCGACGAUCAGUAGCCGACUUGAGAGAGUGAUCGGCCACAUUGGGACUGAGACACGGCCCAGACUCCUACGGGAGGCAGCAGUAGGGAAUAUUGCACAAUGGGGGAAACCCUGAUGCAGCGACGCCGCGUGAGUGAAGAAGUAUUUCGGUACGUAAAGCUCUAUCAGCAGGGAAGAUAAUGACGGUACCUGACUAAGAAGCUCCGGCUAAAUACGUGCC
RNAcentral lists this ribosomal RNA (506 nucleotides) under uncultured organism. RNAcentral describes it as "SSU rRNA". It matches the Rfam family "Bacterial small subunit ribosomal RNA", at positions 17 to 509 of the family's 1533-position model. The record is from RNAcentral.